RNAcentral lists this ribosomal RNA (440 nucleotides) under uncultured bacterium. RNAcentral's name for it is "bacterial SSU rRNA". It matches the Rfam family "Bacterial small subunit ribosomal RNA", at positions 338 to 770 of the family's 1533-position model. The record is from RNAcentral.
CCUACGGGAGGCAGCAGUGGGGAAUAUUGGACAAUGGGCGCAAGCCUGAUCCAGCAAUGCCACGUGUGUGAAGAAGGCCUUAGGGUUGUAAAGCACUUUCAUUAGCGAGGAAGGUAUUUAGGUUAAGAGCUAAGAUACUUGACGUUAACUAAAGAAGAAGCACCGGCUAACUCUGUGCCAGCAGCCGCGGUAAUACAGAGGGUGCGAGCGUUAAUCGGAAUUACUGGGCGUAAAGAGUACGUAGGUUGUUAUUUAAGUCAGAUGUGAAAGCCCUGGGCUCAACCUAGGAACUGCAUCUGAUACUGGGUAACUGGAGUAUAGUAGAGGAAAGAGGAAUUUCUGGUGUAGCAGUGAAAUGCGUAGAUAUCAGAAGGAACAUCAGUGGCGAAGGCGUCUUUCUGGACUAAUACUGACACUGAGGUACGAAAGCGUGGGUAGCG